CUGGAACCUUCUCAGACGGUCCAGUUCCUCGGAUUUCUAAUAGAUUUAAAACAGGCAAUUUUACAAUUACCAUCCACAAAGAUCAAAUCUAUCAAGAGAGACACAGGAAAUUGCUGUCAGCUCAACAGAUUCGCCUAUGCGACCUGGCACAUAAUAUAGGUCUCCUGUCAGCCUCUAUCCAGGCUAUAUAUCCGGGACCCUUACACUACUGAGCUAUGCAGCGGCUAAAAAC
Molecule: non-coding RNA, 232 nt
Organism: Pelobates cultripes (western spadefoot toad)
Lineage: Eukaryota; Metazoa; Chordata; Amphibia; Anura; Pelobatidae
Source: the annotation of a GenBank genome assembly